RNAcentral lists this unclassified non-coding RNA (498 nucleotides) under Hevea brasiliensis (rubber tree). Lineage: Eukaryota; Viridiplantae; Streptophyta; Magnoliopsida; Malpighiales; Euphorbiaceae. The record is from RNAcentral.
GAAACCGAUAGGAAUCGGUUUCUAUACAGAAUUUAAUUUUUAGUAAAUAAAAUGGAAAUUAUAUGAAUGUUGAAACCGAUACGAAUCGGUUUCUAAAUAUAAAUAGAUAAUACUUUUAUUUUGAAACCGAAUGAAAUCGGUUUCUAAAUUAAAGUGAAAGAAAUUAGGAACCGAUAUAUUCGGUUUCUAAUAUGACAAAUAUUAGAAACGGAAAAUUAUUCGGUUUCAAAAAUCGGUUUGUAAUCGGUUUAUAAACAGUUGCUAAAUUUGCCAUCAAAAUGUUCUUCAUAAUUUAGAAACCGACGAGUUUCCGUUUCUAAUUUCGGUUUCUAAUCAGUUGCUAUUUGGUUUUUAAUGUAUUUAAGUUGUUCUACCAGAUUUCCGUUUCAAAAUCCGUUUCAAAUUAUAAACCGAUAUAAAUCCGUUUCUAAAUUCGGUUUCUAUUCUGAUAUUUUCUUGUAGUUAACGUCGUUUUAUGUGAUAAAGGUGGAUGCUGUG